Non-coding RNA from Salvelinus sp. IW2-2015, 238 nucleotides. Lineage: Eukaryota; Metazoa; Chordata; Actinopteri; Salmoniformes; Salmonidae. The record is from RefSeq and is a predicted model, not a curated record.
UUUGACCUCUCCCUAAAGGUUCUGAGCUGUCUCUUAUACAUGUGUCGCGUAUUGACAGAUGACCCAUCCAAAGGACAUGGCUGCUGGGGAUGCCCCAAUCAAACAUACAUCUUUUUAAAUAUUGACUGGUCUCCCAUAAUGUGGGUKGAACGAAGUCUUUUAAUAUGGCCGUUACAGGUGUCUGUMGCAGUUAUCUGUCUUUUUGAAACUAUUCUAUUGACUUACCUGAGUUACAAGG